This 396-nucleotide unclassified non-coding RNA is filed under the name Hevea brasiliensis (rubber tree). The record is from RNAcentral. Lineage: Eukaryota; Viridiplantae; Streptophyta; Magnoliopsida; Malpighiales; Euphorbiaceae.
AGUUGUAAGGGGUAAUUGACAUUUUCUUCAGUAAUAUCAAGGGCCAUUACUCUAUACUCAGUUGUUCAAGAGAUACCAUAAAUGUCCUGAUGCAAUGAUAUGACACCUCGGUUAGAUAAAAUAAGCCUAACAUCUUAUCCUUCCAUGUCAUUUCUACUCAUGAUGGAAAAAACACAAUAUUAUUCUGAGAGCAUCUUUGUCUGCAUCGAUCAAACAAUGAAAUAGAAGUUCUGACAGAGUUAUAGUGAAAACAACUGAUUUAAGAGGGAACGCCACAUAAAAGUCAGUUCGAUAACCACAUAAAAACAUGAGUGAUAAUGUUAGAGUAAGUUUAAAAAAGACUCCAUCUAUCAUGAAAAAAUAAUGCAAUAUAUACAAAGAAACACUCAAAUACAA